This 792-nucleotide ribosomal RNA is filed under the name uncultured archaeon. RNAcentral's name for it is "bacterial SSU rRNA". It matches the Rfam family "Archaeal small subunit ribosomal RNA", at positions 85 to 880 of the family's 1478-position model. The record is from RNAcentral.
ACGGCUCAGUAACACGUGGAUAACCUACCCUAUGGUGGGAGAUAACCCCGGGAAACUGGGGAUAAUAUCCCAUAGUCUAUGGGACCUGGAAUGGUCCAUAGUUGAAAGAUUUAUUCGCCAUAGGAUGGGUCUGCGGCCGAUUAGGUAGUUGUUGGGGUAACGGCCCAACAAGCCUUUGAUCGGUACGGGUUGUGGGAGCAAGAGCCCGGAGAUGGAUUCUGAGACACGAAUCCAGGCCCUACGGGGCGCAGCAGGCGCGAAAACUUUACAAUGCGGGAAACCGUGAUAAGGGAACUCCGAGUGCCCGUAAACGCGGGCUGUCCAUCUGCUUAAAAAACAGGUGAAGAAAGGGCCGGGCAAGACCGGUGCCAGCCGCCGCGGUAAUACCGGCGGCUCGAGUGGUGGCCACUAUUACUGGGCUUAAAGCGUCCGUAGCUUGGUUGUUAAGCCUCUUGGGAAAUCUGUCGGCUUAACCGACAGGCGUUUAAGGGAUACUGGCAAUCUAGGGACCGGGAGAGGUGAGAGGUACUCCAGGGGUAGGAGUGAAAUCCUGUAAUCCUUGGGGGACCACCUGUGGCGUAGGCGUCUCACCAGAACGGCUCCGACAGUGAGGGACGAAAGCUGGGGGAGCAAACCGGAUUAGAUACCCGGGUAGUCCCAGCCGUAAACGAUGCGCGUUAGGUGUAUCGGUGACCACGAGUCACCGAGGUGCCGAAGGGAAAACCGUGAAACGUGCCGCCUGGGAAGUACGGUCGCAAGGCUGAAACUUAAAGGAAUUGGCGGGGGAGCACA